UACACACCGCCCGUCAAACCAUGAGAGUUGGCAACACCCGAAGUCGGUAGUCUAACCGCAAGGAGGACGCCGCGAAGGUGGGGUUGAUGAGUUAGGGUUAAGUCGUAACAAGGUACC
This 117-nucleotide ribosomal RNA is filed under the name uncultured bacterium. RNAcentral's name for it is "partial 16S ribosomal RNA". It matches the Rfam family "Bacterial small subunit ribosomal RNA", at positions 1384 to 1500 of the family's 1533-position model. The record is from RNAcentral.